RNAcentral lists this long non-coding RNA (997 nucleotides) under Manihot esculenta (cassava). Its description in RNAcentral is "long non-coding RNA (MESC_LNC005215)". Lineage: Eukaryota; Viridiplantae; Streptophyta; Magnoliopsida; Malpighiales; Euphorbiaceae. The record is from RNAcentral.
CUCAAUCCUGAGACUCUCCUUUCUCUUUGAUGGCGUGACUCUGUUGGUUAAAUUUGGUAAUUUUCUUUUUUUUUUUUCCUUUUAAUUUUUGAAACUUUUGAUGGUUAGAGAUUCCUUUUUGAGUUUUGGGUCAAUGUCUCUGUAUAUUUUUAUAGGUAUUUCUUUCCAUUUUUGUGCUGGAUUUCCCUUCACUUCAAGUAGUCUUCCUUCUCCUUUGGCCAUCGACAGUUCAAAUUCACUUGUGCUUUAUUCGAAUUUGUAGCCGGAUCAAAUUUUUAUGUUUGGGUUUUAGGAUUUCUUUGAGCUUAAUAUUUUCUUUAUUUUUUUAGAUUUUAAUUUUUCUAACCGUUGAGCUUAUUGGGCUUGUAACUCGCAAUAAAUUAAUAUCUUUGAGAAAAAAAAAUCUUGUCAUUCAAUUAAGCCAUAAAUCAAGACCAUAUCCCAACUGAUUUUGACUAGUGUAGACCAGGAUAGCCUAUCUAAAAAAGCAUAGGGCAUCUCCAAAAGAAACGCAGCAGUUGGGGCUAAAUGAUUGAACUCCCAGUACCUAAAAGCGAAAAAAAGAAAAAAGGAAAAGUCAGAUAUGUGCUCCACAAAUAUUUUAAUUCAAUGGAAACACUGAUAUUUACAAAUUAAGAGAGUGAAGAAUAGUAAUGUUUAAUUAUCCAUUGUUACUACUAAAACAAUCAGUAUUAUCUAAAAGAUGGAAUUUAAAUAUGGAUACCAUGAAUGGGACCCAUUUGGCCUUAGAUGGGUAAAUGGUGAUUGUUAAUGAUAGCAAACGGACACCCACCUGCCCCUAAAAGUACACACCAACGCCCUUUAGUCUAAUCACUAUCAACACAUAACAACGUUUCCAACACCAAUCAUACAAUACCCAUUCAAUUUUAUAUAUUCUUAAUCUUAAUUUUAGUAAACUGUUUCUAUCAGACAAAGUCUCGGUCAUUACACUACGAAACAGACACUCUGCUAUUUAUCAAAGACAUGUCGAUGGUCG